UCAGACCUCUAAUCGGAAAAGACUACCCGCUGAGUUUAAGCAUAUCACUAAGCGGAGGAGAA
This 62-nucleotide ribosomal RNA is filed under the name Scorpidium cossonii. RNAcentral describes it as "partial 25S ribosomal RNA". It matches the Rfam family "Eukaryotic large subunit ribosomal RNA", at positions 1 to 60 of the family's 3401-position model. Lineage: Eukaryota; Viridiplantae; Streptophyta; Bryopsida; Hypnales; Amblystegiaceae. The record is from RNAcentral.